GACGAACGCUGGCGGCGUGCCUAAUACAUGCAAGUCGAGCGGAUCUUCAUUAGCUUGCUUUUGAAGAUCAGCGGCGGACGGGUGAGUAACACGUGGGCAACCUGCCUGUAAGACUGGGAUAACUUCGGGAAACCGGAGCUAAUACCGGAUAAUCCUUUUCCUCUCAUGAGGAAAAGCUGAAAGACGGUUUCGGCUGUCACUUACAGAUGGGCACGCGGCGCAUUAGCUAGUUGGUGAGGUAACGGCUCACCAAGGCGACGAUGCGUAGCCGACCUGAGAGGGUGAUCGGCCACACUGGGACUGAGACACGGCCCAGACUCCUACGGGAGGCAGCAGUAGGGAAUCUUCCGCAAUGGACGAAAGUCUGACGGAGCAACGCCGCGUGAGCGAUGAAGGCCUUCGGGUCGUAAAGCUCUGUUGUCAGGGAAGAACAAGUACCGGAGUAACUGCCGGUACCUUGACGGUACCUGACCAGAAAGCCACGGCUAACUACGUGCCAGCCGCCGCAGUAA
RNAcentral lists this ribosomal RNA (512 nucleotides) under uncultured bacterium. Its description in RNAcentral is "partial 16S ribosomal RNA". It matches the Rfam family "Bacterial small subunit ribosomal RNA", at positions 28 to 523 of the family's 1533-position model. The record is from RNAcentral.